Long non-coding RNA from Hyalella azteca, 911 nucleotides. RefSeq lists it as uncharacterized. The record is from RefSeq and is a predicted model, not a curated record. Lineage: Eukaryota; Metazoa; Arthropoda; Malacostraca; Amphipoda; Hyalellidae. The transcript has 3 exons.
GAAGCAGAGAUGCCGGUAAAAAGGUUAAAAACCGUUCCUCAAUUUUGAGCCGUCGUGAGCGUCGUCCGUCGAUAGAUCGUCAAUCACCAUUUAAUUAUUUUGUGACUUUGAGCCCCGCAUCAAGAAUUACAAAUAUCUGAGUCAUUAUGUUCCGGCUUGGCGGUAUGAGGGACCCUGCUGAGGAGAAGAGACGAGCUCUGGAGGAAGAGCGUCUCUCAAGAAUGGUCGUCUACACAAAUUUUGGGACCUUUUUCUUUAGUAUAUUCAUCAUCAAAGCCACUCCACAUGUUCUGAAGAUGCUUCAGUAAAGACAUAACUGCUGGUGCACUGCGUCACCAAGAUGCAUCUUAAGUCCUUAACUCUUAUAAUUCCUUAUCUUCAACAUAAACAUUAGUCAUCAUUAUCAUUUGAUAAUGAUCUUGUAUCAUCUUGCUAAUAUCAACCACAUGCACAGUUCCACAGCUAGAACGAGUUUCCAAACACCUGAUCCUUUGAUAAUUUUGAUUAUUGAAACAGACACUUACUUUAUUCAUCAAAGUGAUUGAUAAUACGUACCUAUUUCCGUAUGAAGUUGUUACAAGCGGGUAACCAUUAUUAUGAGUUAUUAUUUCUUCAUUCACAAUGACAAACUUCUAAUCCUUUAAUAAUUUUGAUUAUUGAAAUAGACAUUUAAUUUAUUCAUCAAAGUGAUCGAUGAUACCUUUUUCCGUAUGAAGUUGUUACAAGGUGGUAACCAUUAUUAUGAGUUAUGUACAAUGAUUACCUUUUACACAGCUGGUAACCUUCUACUAGUACAUCAUCAUACCGUAUCCAGCUAUUCAUCAUGUUGAACUGAAUUGUUCAAUAUGAUUUGUAAUUACAAUUAUUAUCAUUUAUGUCAACAGUGAUGCAAACAAUAAAUUCUACCAGUA